RNAcentral lists this ribosomal RNA (468 nucleotides) under uncultured bacterium. RNAcentral's name for it is "partial 16S ribosomal RNA". It matches the Rfam family "Bacterial small subunit ribosomal RNA", at positions 28 to 507 of the family's 1533-position model. The record is from RNAcentral.
GACGAACGCUGGCGGCGUGCUUAACACAUGCAAGUCGAACGGAAAGGCCCUGCUUUUGUGGGGUGCUCGAGUGGCGAACGGGUGAGUAACACGUGAGUAACCUGCCCUUGACUUUGGGAUAACUUCAGGAAACUGGGGCUAAUACCGGAUAGGAGCUCCUGCUGCAUGGUGGGGGUUGGAAAGUUUCGGCGGUUGGGGAUGGACUCGCGGCUUAUCCGCUUGUUGGUGGGGUAGUGGCUUACCAAGGCUUUGACGGGUAGCCGGCCUGGGAGGGUGACCGGCCACAUUGGGACUGAGAUAGGGCCCAGAAUCCUACGGGAGGCAGUAGGGGGGAAUAUGGCACAAUGGGGGGAAGCCUGAUGCAGAAACGCCGCGUGCGGGAUGACGGCCUUCGGGUUGUAAACCGCUUUCGCCUGUGACGAAGCGUGAGUGACGGUAAUGGGUAAAGAAGCACCGGCUAACUACGUG